RNAcentral lists this transfer RNA (73 nucleotides) under Mus musculus (house mouse). RNAcentral's name for it is "tRNA-Ser". Lineage: Eukaryota; Metazoa; Chordata; Mammalia; Rodentia; Muridae. The record is from RNAcentral.
GGAGAGAUGGCUCAGAGGUUAAGAGCAUUGACUGCUCCUCCAAAGGUCCUGAGUUCAAAUCCCAGCAACUACA